RNAcentral lists this ribosomal RNA (498 nucleotides) under uncultured Streptococcus sp. RNAcentral describes it as "bacterial SSU rRNA". It matches the Rfam family "Bacterial small subunit ribosomal RNA", at positions 28 to 508 of the family's 1533-position model. The record is from RNAcentral. Lineage: Bacteria; Bacillati; Bacillota; Bacilli; Lactobacillales; Streptococcaceae.
GAUGAACGCUGGCGGCGUGCCUAAUACAUGCAAGUAGAACGCUGAAGCUUGGUGCUUGCACCGAGCGGAGGAGUUGCGAACGGGUGAGUAACGCGUAGGUUACCUGCCUCUUAGCGGGGGAUAACUAUUGGAAACGAUAGCUAAUACCGCAUAAAAGUCGACAUUGCGUGAUGUUGACUUGAAAGGUGCAACUGCAUCACUAAGAGAUGGACCUGCGUUGUAUUAGCUAGUUGGUGAGGUAACGGCCCACCAAGGCGACGAUACAUAGCCGACCUGAGAGGGUGAUCGGCCACACUGGGACUGAGACACGGCCCAGACUCCUACGGGAGGCAGCAGUAGGGAAUCUUCGGCAAUGGACGGAAGUCUGACCGUGCAACGCCGCGUGAGUGAAGAAGGUUUUCGGAUCGUAAAGCUCUGUUGUAAGAGAAGAACGAGUGUGAGAGUGGAAAGUUCACACUGUGACGGUAACUUACCAGAAAGGGACGGCUAACUACGUGC